Molecule: unclassified non-coding RNA, 253 nt
Filed under: uncultured Parcubacteria group bacterium
Lineage: Bacteria
Description: contains 16S-23S intergenic spacer region
Rfam family: Bacterial small subunit ribosomal RNA
Source: RNAcentral
UACAGAGGCCCCAAGCGUUAUCCGGAAUCACUGGGCGUAAAGGGUGUGCAGGUGGUCAUGUUAGUCUUCUGUUAAAUUCUUCGGCUCAACCGGGGGCAUGCGGGAGAAACGGCAUGACUAGAGUGUACGAGAGGUGCGCGGAACUCAUGGAGUAGGGGUGAAAUCCGUUGAUAUCAUGGGGAACACCAAAAGCGAAGGCAGCGCACUGGCGUAUUACUGACACUUAGACACGAAAGCGUAGGUAGCGAAUGGG